CAGAUAUCUUCCACCUCUACUUAUCUGACUGCAGAGAGGAGGACAGAGAACAGUGGACACACAGUUUAACAUGAUGGACUAUAGGACAGGACUGCUGCUUUUAACUAUCUGCUGGGCAGGUGUUGAUGGUCAGACUCUGACAGAAUCUGAACCAGUGAUUAAAAGGCCUGGAGAAUCUCACAGACUGACCUGUACAGCCUCUGGAUUUUCACUUAGUAGCCACUGGAUGAACUGGGUCAGACAGGCUCCUGGAAAAGGACUGGAGUGGGUUGCCUGGAAUGAUAAUAGUGGUAGCAGCAAACACUACUCUCAGUCAGUUCAAGGCCGGUUCACCAUCUCCAGAGACAACAGCAGACAGCAGGUGUAUCUGCAGAUGAACAGUCUGAAGACUGAAGAUUCUGCUGUUUAUUAUUGUGCUCGAGAGCCACAGUGACUGGAGUUGGUUGAGCAGCUGUACAAAAACCUACAGUG
This is a non-coding RNA of Epinephelus lanceolatus (giant grouper), 471 nucleotides long. NCBI's taxonomy places the organism in Eukaryota, Metazoa, Chordata, Actinopteri, Perciformes, Serranidae. The record is from the annotation of a RefSeq genome assembly.